Molecule: ribosomal RNA, 745 nt
Filed under: uncultured bacterium
Lineage: Bacteria
Description: bacterial SSU rRNA
Rfam family: Bacterial small subunit ribosomal RNA
Source: RNAcentral
ACGCUGGCGGCAGGCCUAACACAUGCAAGUCGAGCGGUAGAGAGAAGCUUGCUUCUCUUGAGAGCGGCGGACGGGUGAGUAAUGCCUAGGAAUCUGCCUGGUAGUGGGGGAUAACGUUCGGAAACGGACGCUAAUACCGCACACGUCCUACGGGAGAAAGCAGGGGACCUUCGGGCCUUGCGCUAUCAGAUGAGCCUAGGUCGGAUUAGCUAGUUGGUGGGGUAAUGGCUCACCAAGGCGACGAUCCGUAACUGGUCUGAGAGGAUGAUCAGUCACACUGGAACUGAGACACGGUCCAGACUCCUACGGGAGGCAGCAGUGGGGAAUAUUGGACAAUGGGCGAAAGCCUGAUCCAGCCAUGCCGCGUGUGUGAAGAAGGUCUUCGGAUUGUAAAGCACUUUAAGUUGGGAGGAAGGGCAGUAAAUUAAUACUUUGCUGUUUUGACGUUACCGACAGAAUAAGCACCGGCUAACUCUGUGCCAGCAGCCGCGGUAAUACAGAGGGUGCAAGCGUCAAUCGGAAUUACUGGGCGUAAAGCGCGCGUAGGUGGUUAGUUAAGUUGGAUGUGAAAUCCCCGGGCUCAACCUGGGAACUGCAUUCAAAACUGACUGACUAGAGUAUGGUAGAGGGUGGUGGAAUUUCCUGUGUAGCGGUGAAAUGCGUAGAUAUAGGAAGGAACACCAGUGGCGAAGGCGACCACCUGGACUGAUACUGACACUGAGGUGCGAAAGCGUGGGGAGCAAAC